RNAcentral lists this ribosomal RNA (254 nucleotides) under uncultured bacterium. Its description in RNAcentral is "partial 16S ribosomal RNA". It matches the Rfam family "Bacterial small subunit ribosomal RNA", at positions 77 to 334 of the family's 1533-position model. The record is from RNAcentral.
CAAACUGAAGAUGGCGACCGGCGCACGGGUGAGUAACACGUAUCCAACCUGCCGAUAACUCCGGAAUAGCCUUUCGAAAGAAAGAUUAAUACCGGAUGGCAUACGAAUAUCGCAUGAUAUUUUUAUUAAAGAAUUUCGGUUAUCGAUGGGGAUGCGUUCCAUUAGUUUGUUGGCGGGUAACGGCCCACCAAGACUACGAUGGAUAGGGGUUCUGAGGGGAAGGUCCCCCACAUUGGAACUGAGACACGGUCCAA